RNAcentral lists this transfer RNA (94 nucleotides) under bacterium HR36. RNAcentral describes it as "tRNA-Thr". The record is from RNAcentral.
CGCUGAUCUGCGGCAGGUGUUGACGCAAGCUAGUGGUUUGGGAGAGAAGGUAAGCGAGGCUCCGGCCUGGCUGAUCGUCGCUGCCGAGUGGCGG